Long non-coding RNA from Glycine soja, 780 nucleotides. RefSeq lists it as uncharacterized. The transcript has 5 exons. NCBI's taxonomy places the organism in Eukaryota, Viridiplantae, Streptophyta, Magnoliopsida, Fabales, Fabaceae. The record is from RefSeq and is a predicted model, not a curated record.
CCAUGGGAAAAUCGAUUUCAGGUUGAAGCUACCCCGGGUUACUUCUGCAUCAUGGAAUAAUUAAUUUUCAGAUUUAAGUGUCAGAUUUUUAAUUUUGCCCUUCACCCAUUUCGUGUCAGAUUUCUCAUUGUUAUUUUUAUACUGAUUUUUUUGUUUUAAAGCAAAACUAUGAAUCUGUGCUGGCUUUUAAAGCAAAAAUGUCAAGCGGUGAAAUGGUGCUGGUUUUCUUAAAGAUGCUGCAGCUGUUGGCUUGGGGAGAGAAAUCUUGACUGGUUAUAGAUUCUAGUACACAAGUCAAGAUUUGUCAGGACUUGGGGUUAUUUAGUUCCACAGGCAUGCCAUUCUCUCAAGAUAAAUGAAGAAAAAGUAAAAUGGAUUUGCUUUAUAUGAAUAACCUUGAUGCAAGUAUUCUUGUAUUGAGAAAACUUUAUGGUGAAAGGAAGGAAUACUUUGUCAAACAUCCUACUCUUGAUUUUUUUGAGGGUAACUCUCAAGUCUCAAGGGCUUCAGUCAAAAGUUACAAGGAUCUAUCUGCUGGGUUGCAAGAAAUCAUUUGGAAAGCAUAACCUAUCGAUGUAGAAACAGAUGGUUAGUUGCUUAGUUUCGUAUGCAAGUAAUGGUGCUUUAACAAAAUGGUUUUGGUGGCAGUAGAUUGAAGGAUUCUAUCAUGGCCAGAGUUAUACCUUAUUUUGACAUUGUAUCAGAAUUCCUUCGGAUUAUCUGUAAUGGCAUAUUUGUUACUAUUCAACUACUAGUUUAUCUACAAACUUUUGUUAUCAU